MicroRNA precursor from Oryza sativa Japonica Group (Japanese rice), 209 nucleotides. It matches the Rfam family "MIR812 microRNA precursor family". The record is from Rfam. Lineage: Eukaryota; Viridiplantae; Streptophyta; Magnoliopsida; Poales; Poaceae.
UUUAAAUAUAGUGAUUGUGGGUUUCUAUGUCCAAUGUUUGAUCGUCCGUUUUAUUUUAAUUUUUUUUAUGAUUAGUAUUUUUAUUGACUAGAUGAUAAAACAUAAAUAGUACUUUAUGCGUGACUUACUUCUUUUAAUUUUUUUUAUAAAUUUUUUAAAUAAGACGGAUGGUUAAACGUUGGUCAUAACAACUCACAACUACACUUAAC